This is a long non-coding RNA of Fukomys damarensis (Damara mole-rat), 991 nucleotides long. RefSeq lists it as uncharacterized. The transcript has 6 exons. NCBI's taxonomy places the organism in Eukaryota, Metazoa, Chordata, Mammalia, Rodentia, Bathyergidae. The record is from RefSeq and is a predicted model, not a curated record.
GUGUAUCACAGGUAGUAAAAGUCAGCAGUGUCUUGUGAAGCUUUUGUCUCAAUCUUGUACAUAUGUACACAUGGUCACGAUGGACACGGAGCACUGCAGCCAAGAAGAUGAGAAACAGACCGAAACACCAAAGGCCAAGCACUGAGCUAACUCCAACAGAUGCUGCUUGGCUGCUGUGUGUCCCUCCACCCGAGGAGCAGCUCUCGGAAUCAGUUCGCUCACCACCUCCAUCUGCACAACUCUCACAGUUUUGAAAGAUAGCCAAGAUCCUGAAAGUGUAGCUGUCACAAUCUCUGAUACAUCCGAGUCACCCUGAAGCCUCAUUCUAGAAUGAAAACUUCAAGGCCCCGACCUGGAAAAUUCUGAUUCACCUCUUCCACUUUCCUGCGUGCCUAGAUCUCAGUGUGGCCGGAGCACAGUUCUGCCACCAGGUCCUGCCAGCUUCCAGACUGUCCUCCGGCUACAUGCUUUGGCUUGCGCAAGGACUUUACCUGCCUUGUUUUCUACACAUAAUCCUCAGUCCCUGGCACGAUGCUGGAGGAAUGAAUGGAUGAGUGCACCCAGGUGGAGAAGGAAGGUGUAAAGUCAACAGUGUCGUGAAUUCUGGCCUUGGAAACCUAAAACUUCAGAGUAAAGCAGAAAUAUUUAAAAGAAUAAACAAAAGGCCUUCCUAAGGAGAUGCUAGAUAAAACACAUCAAACUCAACAGAAUGGGGAAUCAUUUUCUGAGCUGUAACAAAGGCAAAGGCAAUGCAGUCUUUGUUAACACAGGAUCAGAACUGAGAGCCAGGUUGACUGAAGACAAGAAGCAUCUCUUGGCUCUAAUCAGCUGCAUCAGCUAAUGACACAGACUGAAUCAUUUGGGAGACCUGCGAGAACAAGGGAGCAUCUGAGAAGACAGCCAUGGGAAUGGAAGACAAUUUGAAACAAGCAAUCAUGGGAUGAAAGAGAAUAUGUUGGCUAUAAAAUAAGUGCAGGGAUAAAAGAGAUGA